CACAAAUGAUGCAAUCAGAGCCAAAAUUGGCAACACUAAACUCCUGUACGGAAGAAAUGAGUUGUUUAAAACCCUCCAGCAAAGCUGGGUUCACUGUACAAAAGCUUAUUCAUAGCUGAACAAUUCUCUUACUACGAGCUACUUCAUCCAGACAUUUUGAAAUGCUUGCCAUGGCCAAAUUAUUUUCCUGGCCAGGAGAGAUUCCGAAAAAUACAACCAUUUUACACAAUGUGAAAGCUGAAUUUUGGCAGAAAGAAGCAAUUGUAUGUAAUGGUAACCCAAUAGUAUAGAAUGCACAAGCUCCAGGAUACUCUGUAUGACCAGUUCAUGUCUUAUUUUAGUGGGCAAUCAAUUGAGGAUUGUACUUUGUUGAAAACCUGGAAAACAACGAUAUAGUAGUUUAGUGCUG
This 409-nucleotide long non-coding RNA is filed under the name Olea europaea subsp. europaea. Lineage: Eukaryota; Viridiplantae; Streptophyta; Magnoliopsida; Lamiales; Oleaceae. The record is from RNAcentral.